RNAcentral lists this long non-coding RNA (2356 nucleotides) under Olea europaea subsp. europaea. Lineage: Eukaryota; Viridiplantae; Streptophyta; Magnoliopsida; Lamiales; Oleaceae. The record is from RNAcentral.
CUGUUUUACCACAUUUUUGUUUUCUAUCGAAUUAGAUCCGAUAUAAUUAUUUGCAUGACCUUUAAUUGAUAUUUGUUAUCUCAAAAACUGCAAUCUCCAUUUGUUCAUUUUGAUCAGGCUAAUCUCAUGGCGCUUCACCAGGAAAAUGUUAUGUAAACUGUCUUUUUCAUAUUGGCUGAAGUUUGGCAAAUUAUGUUUCUGAUAUUGUCAAAGAUUGCAAAUAAACCUCAUGAUUGUUCCCUCGAACAGCUGAUUAGUCUGAUCUAGACCAAUUCAGCUCUGCAACGGCCAUGCAUUUGACGCCAAUAUUUCCAAAAUUUUUCCUCCUAAAUAUGUAAGUUGCCGACGGGUCGAGCAAAUAUCAUUGAUUUUGCCAAGAUAUCAAAGUGACUUUUAAUUCAUUAUGAAGCAUGAAAACUUGUUUUGAUACAACUAAUUGCAGAAUUUAACAUUCUGUGCUUAGAUUGAAUAUCACUUGGUCUCUCAUAUAUCCUCUGUGUGGUGAUAAGUUUUUUUUUUUUUUUUUUGUUGAGCUGAUCCACUUUUAUUCUUUGCAACUAUAGUUUUGCCUGAAGCUUGCAUUACUAGCUUCCUUGCCUUCUAACUAAGGAGAGUUUGAUGGCCGUAUGAUAUAUACUGAUGUGGGAUCGAAAUUUAUUUCAAAAAGGCACCUGUUGAUCCAGCUAAAAUUAAUUUCAGCGCUUUACCUUAAAUAGUCUGUCAGAAUCUUAUGACUCACUGCCUUUUUUUUCAGAAUGAUAGAAAUGGGGGUUAAUAAUUUCCCUGAAAUUUUCACACUGAAGGAAUAACGAAAGAUGUAAGCAUGCUAGUGUUCGGUAAUUUGUCCUUCUCAAUUCACUCCUUGAUGCUUGCGAUGGGUAUGAGAUGCUAUAAAUGUUUUGGCUCUUUUUAUGCGGGCACAAAUUAACCUAGAACCAAGUUUGUAUAUUAUGUUAAGGGCAGUUAUUUUAGUCAGAUCAAGAAUCAGAACAUCAAUUUCGAAUUUGACCAUAACGCUCAUAUCCUAUGUCUGCUGGGGGCAUGAUGAUAAUUUUUGUGCAAACAACUUUUGUCAACUUAUUACUUCCAAACAUGGGCAGUACCAAAAUGUAGAGGACAUAGGUUAGGGACGAAUUAGAAAUUUUCCUCAUUCCUUUUUAAUUUUACAAGAUUAUAUGAGGAUUUUACUUGCUUUUUCCUCCAUUUUCUUUCCCUCCCCAAAGAAACAGUAAAAAAGAAGGGAAUUCAAUCGCAUUUUCAAAAUGAGAAAAGCUGAGUUCAAAGAAUAAAAGCCAUGAGUGAUACAAUCCUUUCAAUCAUCUUGUAGGACAUAUGUUUUUACUAAAGUUUUUUUCAUGUUUCAGAUGGCUUGUGGAAUCCUAGUUUUGCAGCCAGCAUCAUUAACUAAAUUCACUGAAACGUGCAGAAUGGUACCAUCUUUUAUGCCUUUUUCCUAAGUACAGGUCAAACUAUCUAUAUAAUUGGAAGGAAAAGAAUAUGGUUGGAUACACUAGUGGAUAAUCUGGAGAGAGCACACUGAAUGAAGACAACUUCCACUGAGUCUGUUUUGUCAUUUGCUUCAAUACUUGGACUAGAACUCUCAAUGGAUAAUGAAAAUUGAUAACUUUGAUCAUAUACUUAUAAAAUGACAUUAACCAAUUGGAAAUAUUGAGGGUUCAUGUGUAAAUUUUAUAUUCCUUGGUAAUUGAUGGCCCAGAUCAAUGAACUGCACCAUGCUAUCCAGAAUUCAGUAGUCCAAAUAAUCUCAGCAUAGUAGGUUACCGUGAACAUGAUAUGGUAUUUUUCUCAGUAUUUUUUGGUGAAUGGUAUGAAAGCAGUGGAUGUCGAACCCAUGCACAUCCACAGGAGUAAAUGUUCUUACAAUGCACCUCCCAAGAGUCAUUUUAGUUGGGCUAAACAGCCAACUAGUAGUAGGCAUUGUACACCAGGAUUUAUGGUCCAUGAUGUGAUGGAAUUAAUUGUCAACUGUGAGAUCCCACGAGGACGAGAAAGCGGAUACAGUUUUUUCGGUGUGGUUUAGGAAUACUACGUAACUGGUUGAUGUCUUUUUGGACAAUGGCUUUAGACCAUGUAUUGCGCCUAUGGGCCCUAUGGAGCAGGUCACGUUCGUAGCGUUUUCCUCAACCUUGGGCAUGUCAUCUGGAUCAAUUGGCGACUGAUUAUUUAGUUUUCAGAUGGUCCUGUAAUCAAGGGAGAAAGAGAAUGAAGGAAAAAUUAACAAGAAUAAAAUUGGAGCUUUAUCACAUUCUUGGCUACAGCUUGUAUAGAUUCUUGUAAACUUCCUUUACAUUAUUUCUGACUUUCUUAUAUUCAGCGAGAUGAUUAACUUGUUGUC